AACAUGGGUAAAUCUAAUGCUUUCAUUUAGGAAAACGCUACAAAUUUCUGUAAGAUAUUUUCCUUUCUCUUCACUCUUAUCACGGUGAUUAAACAAUCGCUCUCCCUUCCUCUUUGUUUGUCAGCCUUUGCCUCUCCUCCCCAUCUCUAUCUGUUGGCCUCACCUCCUCAUCUUUGCCUCGUCAUUUCUUUCGGUUGACUGUCGUCCUUACCAAGUUUGCAUUUCGAAGAAACCCAAAAAAUUUGGCUUUCCAGUCCUUCAAGGGCUUCAGCUUCGCCUUUUGUAUUCUUUAAAGAGGAUUUAGUUCUAAGUCAGCAAUAGAAGGAUACUGAAUCCAAUUGGAAAACACAGGUUACUAGUGUUGAAGAAAUGCUUUCUCCAGAAGCAUACAUUUUGCUUUAUGAUGUAUGCUAGAUAGAGUAUAGUUUUCAAUUGUAAUAGAACCGUUGUCUUGUAAACAAACCCUCUGAUGUGGAGAGUAUUUUCUUAUGUGCAAUUGAAGCAGUUAUUGCUAAGUUCAAAGA
Molecule: long non-coding RNA, 524 nt
Organism: Gossypium arboreum
Lineage: Eukaryota; Viridiplantae; Streptophyta; Magnoliopsida; Malvales; Malvaceae
Exons: 3
Source: RefSeq, a predicted model, not a curated record